RNAcentral lists this long non-coding RNA (1393 nucleotides) under Fukomys damarensis (Damara mole-rat). Its description in RNAcentral is "lncRNA (ENSFDAG00000026232.1)". Lineage: Eukaryota; Metazoa; Chordata; Mammalia; Rodentia; Bathyergidae. The record is from RNAcentral.
AUGCUUUCCUUUAGGAUGUUAAGAGACUGGGUUGGCCCUGUGACAAAAACUUUUCAAAGUCAAACUGAAUUUAGCCUUAGAGUGGUGCAAGUUUUCAUCUUAAAUUAUUUUGCAUUUUUUAUAUUCAUACUUUUAGAGUCUUCAAAAUUUCUCCAGCCCAUCUCCACUGAUCACCACCAACAAGAGGGUGUAAGUUACUUGAUGUGGAACCUUCUCAAAAGAAGAUGCUUCAGAGAUGGACUGGAAAUGCCUUGAUAUUAUUUACCACGAAAAUGAUGUAGCUAUGGGUAUGUACAUUUUUCUCAGGAAAUUGUGUGUAGCCUUUAUGUGAUUUUCAAAUCAUGCCAAGGACCACAUCUUGGUUAUAACCUCCAUGACACCUUCUAUUUCCAUGGCAUCCACUGCCAACUCACUCCCCAUCCUGUGCUGUGUUCUUGCUCAGGUCAACUGACACAUUGUUCUUGACCCAGGUUCUUGGAGGAUCUGUCUGUGUCUUUUCCUUCUAUAAUCAGUUAUAUACCAACUUCUUCCAAAAAUGGGAUUCACACACUAAUUGGCUUAUCACUAUUUUAUCUUAGAUUCCUGACGUCUAUUUCUUGUCAUCCUGCUCUAACCUGCAUAAUAUAUCCAGAAAUACGUGUGGAUAUAUGAUAAGAGCUUCAACUUGCUCAUAUCACUCUCCAACUUAAUUUUCUUCAAUACAUUCUUUCUCUUCUCCCAACAAGGUUAAAUUCCAAGUGAGAAAUCACUUGGUUUGUGAAAGCCUUCAAAAGGAUUCCUCGUACUUAUAUCAUUCUCCCUUGAUUUAUCAGCAAUGUGGACACUUUUCAGACUCCAGUUGAACGAUGUUGCUGUUUUCUCACUCUGGAAGAAGCCCUCUCUCUUACACAGAGAUGACUCCUAAAUCUCUUCCAGGGCCCAGCUUGCCCACUUGGCUGUCAGUGAAGUUCUCCCUGGCCUCAAGGAGAGGCUAGCUAAUCUCUGCUUUCAUCCUGAACCUGUUGUUGCCCUGAGGACCACUCUGCAUCUUAGCUUUGUUCUUCUGAACUGCCUGCCUUACUGUGUGAGAAGUCAUGGAGUCAGAUGCAACUUUCUUAUCUGAACAUCUUCAAGGUCAGUGCUUCAGGAACUGCUUUUUGGGGACACAUCGUCCUAACUUCACCUGGGUCAAACAAACAAAUCAGCCUCUUUAGAUUCCUUUUUGAGUGGCCUUCCAGUGCUGAGGUUAAAACCUUGAAUUUCCCAGUAUGGUACAUCUUACACUAAUAUAUGUCACACAUACUCUGUGUGGUAGUGUAUGUUACCUGCUAGGAUCUAUUUGUAAUGUACGUUUCCAGCCUGGAUCUAUUUGAAGCAAGAUGAGCACCAUGUAGAGGCGUAUUAUGUAUUUCCU